AGCGACAGAUUAGAAGCUUGCUUCUAUGACGUUAGCGGCGGACGGGUGAGUAACACGUGGGCAACCUGCCUGUAAGACUGGGAUAACUUCGGGAAACCGAAGCUAAUACCGGAUAGGAUCUUCUCCUUCAUGGGAGAUGAUUGAAAGAUGGUUUCGGCUAUCACUUACAGAUGGGCCCGCGGUGCAUUAGCUAGUUGGUGAGGUAACGGCUCACCAAGGCAACGAUGCAUAGCCGACCUGAGAGGGUGAUCGGCCACACUGGGACUGAGACACGGCCCAGACUCCUACGGGAGGCAGCAGUAGGGAAUCUUCCGCAAUGGACGAAAGUCUGACGGAGCAACGCCGCGUGAGUGAUGAAGGCUUUCGGGUCGUAAAACUCUGUUGUUAGGGAAGAACAAGUACGAGAGUAACUGCUCGUACCUUGACGGUACCUAACCAGAAAGCCACGGCUAACUACGUGCCAGCAGCCGCGGUAAUACGUAGGUGGCAAGCGUUAUCCGGAAUUAUUGGGCGUAAAGCGCGCGCAGGCGGUUUCUUAAGUCUGAUGUGAAAGCCCACGGCUCAACCGUGGAGGGUCAUUGGAAACUGGGGAACUUGAGUGCAGAAGAGAAAAGCGGAAUUCCACGUGUAGCGGUGAAAUGCGUAGAGAUGUGGAGGAACACCAGUGGCGAAGGCGGCUUUUUGGUCUGUAACUGACGCUGAGGCGCGAAAGCGUGGGGGAGCAAACAGGAUUAGAUACCCCUGGUAGNUCCACGCCCGUAAACGAUGAGUGCUAAGUGUUAGAGGGUUUCCCUCCCUUUAGUGCUUGCAGCUAAACGCAUUAAGGCACUCCGCCCUGGGGGAGUACGGUUCGCANGACUNGAAAACUCA
RNAcentral lists this ribosomal RNA (870 nucleotides) under Bacillus sp. TAS6CB. Its description in RNAcentral is "bacterial SSU rRNA". It matches the Rfam family "Bacterial small subunit ribosomal RNA", at positions 65 to 903 of the family's 1533-position model. The record is from RNAcentral. Lineage: Bacteria; Bacillati; Bacillota; Bacilli; Caryophanales; Bacillaceae.